AGAGUUUGAUCCUGGCUCAGGAUGAACGCUGGCGGCGUGCCUAAUCCAUGCAAGUCGAACGGAGUAUCAGCAAUGGUGCUUAGUGGCGAACGGGUGAGUAACGCGUUGGUGACCUGCCCCGAAGCGGGGGAUAACAGAUCGAAAGGUCUGCUAAUACCGCGUAAUCUGUGAGUAGUCAGAGAGCUUACAGGAAAGCCGAAAGGCGCUUUGGGAGGGGCCUGCGUCCCAUCAGCUAGUUGGUAAGGUAACGGCUUACCAAGGCGAUGACGGGUAGGGGACCUGAGAGGGUGGCCCCCCACAAUGGAACUGAAACACGGUCCAUACACCUACGGGUGGCAGCAGGAGGGAAUAUUGGUUAAUGUGCGAAAGCGCGAACCAGCAACGCCGCGUGAACGAUGAAGGCCUUCGGGUUGUAAAGUUCUUUUUGCCGGGAAGAGGAAGGACGGUACCGGCAGAAUAAGUCUCGGCUAACUACGUGCCAGCAGCCGCGGUAACACGUAGGAGACGAGCGUUAUCCGGAUUUACUGGGUGUAAAGCGCGUGCAGGCGGUUUGUUAAGUUGGAUGUGAAAGCUCCCGGCUAAACUGGGAGAGGUCGUUCAAAACUGGCAGACUAGAGUGUGGUAGAGGAGAGUGGAAUUCCGAGUGUAGCGUUAAAAUGCAUAGAUAUUCGGAAGAACACCAGUGGCGAAGGCGACUUUCUGGACCACAACUGACGCUCAGACGCGAAAGCCAGGGUAGCAAACGGGAUUAGAGACCCCGGUAGUCCUGGCAGUAAACGAUGUGAACUUGGCGUCGGCGGGAUAAAACCUGUCGGUGCCGAAGCAAACGCGAUAAGUUCACCACCUGGGGACUACGGCCGCAAGGUUAAAACUCAAAGGAAUUGACGGGGGCCCGCACAAGCAGCGGAGCGUGUGGUUUAAUUCGAUGUUACACGAAGAACCUUACCAGGGUUUGACAUGCAUGUGGUAGAGAAGCGAAAGUGGAUCGACCUUCGGGGAGCAUGCACAGGUGUUGCAUGGCUGUCGUCAGCUCGUGUCGUGAGAUGUUCGGUUAAGUCCGCUAACGAGCGCAACCCUUACUGCGUGUUACAAGUGUCACGCGGGACUGCCAGUCUUAAGCUGGAGGAAGGUGGGGACGACGUCAAGUCAGCAUGACCUAUAUGUCCUGGUCUACACACACGCUACAAUGGGUAGUACAAUGGGUCGCUAAGCCGCGAGGUGGAGCCAAUCCACAAAGCUAUCCUCAGUUCAGAUUGCAGGCUGCAACCCGCCUGCAUGAAGAUGGAGUUGCUAGUAACCGCAGGUCAGCUAUACUGCGGUGAAUACGUUCCCGGGCCUUGUACACACCGCCCGUCACGUCAUGGGAGCUGGUAACACCUGAAGCCGGUAUCCUAACCGCAAGGAGGGAGCUGUCGAGGGUGGGACUGGUGACUGGGACUAAGUCGUAACAAGGUAGGAGUACCGGAAGGUGCGGCUGGAUCACCUCCUU
This 1489-nucleotide ribosomal RNA is filed under the name uncultured bacterium. Its description in RNAcentral is "bacterial SSU rRNA". It matches the Rfam family "Bacterial small subunit ribosomal RNA". The record is from RNAcentral.